Molecule: ribosomal RNA, 909 nt
Filed under: Curvularia lunata var. lunata
Lineage: Eukaryota; Fungi; Ascomycota; Dothideomycetes; Pleosporales; Pleosporaceae
Description: LSU rRNA
Rfam family: Eukaryotic large subunit ribosomal RNA
Source: RNAcentral
GCAUAUCAAUAAGCGGAGGAAAAGAAACCAACAGGGAUUGCCCUAGUAACGGCGAGUGAAGCGGCAACAGCUCAAAUUUGAAAUCUGGCUCUUUCAGAGUCCGAGUUGUAAUUUGCAGAGGGCGCUUUGGCUUUGGCAGCGGUCCAAGUUCCUUGGAACAGGACGUCACAGAGGGUGAGAAUCCCGUACGUGGUCGCUAGCUAUUGCCGUGUAAAGCCCCUUCGACGAGUCGAGUUGUUUGGGAAUGCAGCUCUAAAUGGGAGGUAAAUUUCUUCUAAAGCUAAAUAUUGGCCAGAGACCGAUAGCGCACAAGUAGAGUGAUCGAAAGAUGAAAAGCACUUUGGAAAGAGAGUCAAACAGCACGUGAAAUUGUUGAAAGGGAAGCGCUUGCAGCCAGACUUGCUUGCAGUUGCUCAUCCGGGCUUUUGCCCGGUGCACUCUUCUGCAGGCAGGCCAGCAUCAGUUUGGGCGGUGGGAUAAAGGUCUCUGACACGUUCCUUCCUUCGGGUUGGCCAUAUAGGGGAGACGUCAUACCACCAGCCUGGACUGAGGUCCGCGCAUCUGCUAGGAUGCUGGCGUAAUGGCUGUAAGCGGCCCGUCUUGAAACACGGACCAAGGAGUCUAACAUCUAUGCGAGUGUUUGGGUGUCAAGCCCGAGCGCGUAAUGAAAGUGAACGGAGGUGGGAACCCGCAAGGGCGCACCAUCGACCGAUCCUGAAGUUUACGGAAGGAUUUGAGUAAGAGCAUGGCUGUUGGGACCCGAAAGAUGGUGAACUAUGCUUGAAUAGGGUGAAGCCAGAGGAAACUCUGGUGGAGGCUCGCAGCGGUUCUGACGUGCAAAUCGAUCGUCAAAUUUGGGCAUAGGGGCGAAAGACUAAUCGAACUAUCUAGUAGCUGGUUCCUGCCGAA